Non-coding RNA from Xyrichtys novacula (pearly razorfish), 1545 nucleotides. NCBI's taxonomy places the organism in Eukaryota, Metazoa, Chordata, Actinopteri, Labriformes, Labridae. The record is from the annotation of a GenBank genome assembly.
UGUGAUUCCAGUUGAAAUCUGGAGGAAUGCAAGCCUGAAAAAAGGGGAGCAGCUCAACACCAGUUCAGGUCAACUAACACUUAUCUUUCACGUGAAUCAGUCUAUUAUGACUUUAACCUUUAAGAAUUGCCUGUGCUAUUAUUUCCAUGUGACUAAUUUGCACCUUCCACAGCAGUUACAGAAUCGAACACUCCAUAUAAUCCAUCUCCCUAGAAGCUCGCUAUGCCAUGUAUUCACCAUGUCACUGAUGGACUGCAGUUUGCACCUUCCACAGCAGUGUUAGACACUCAGGAGUGCAACACAAAGGUGCAACAAAAGGUAAUUUCAACUCUUUGUUUUAAAAUCUAUCACCUCUGUUAGACUCUGGAUGUGGAAUACAGCAGCGAGGAAACAGGUUGAAGUUUUAAAUACAUAAAGUGCAGUAUAAAAAGACAUGAAAGUAUACUCUACCAGCAUGUGAGUACCUUGAUGUGCAUAACCAGACCAGGGUAAAAGCAGAUUUAUUGCCUUUUGAGUUAAACUACUAUUUUGCCACAUUUUGGUUUGGGAACUAUUCAGUUAAGUCUAUGAAAUAAAUAAUGACUUAUUUUUAAUCAAUAAUUAUCAUGUGGCUGAAAUAAUUGUUGGUAUUCCACAUAAUUUUUUUUAAGACCUUUCUAGCACCAGCGAUUUACAUUUAGUGCCAUCAUGGAAACAUAAAGGUGUGACGCUGCAUUCAGGUUUUAGCGAUGGGAUUUUAGCCGUGCCCCUUUUACUCUGACCUCAUUUACAUCCACUAAUAUCACAUGACCUUCUUUGCCAACAAUAGAGGUCAAACUUUCAUUUGAAGCAUUUAGAGUUUUUAAAUUUGAACACACUCCGGAGUUAAACAGUAUUGAUCUGUCAUGUGAUUAGAUUUAAUGCAGGAGCUGGGUCAAUAGUUGAAUGUGUUACAUCUAACGCCGCUGACCUCGGUGGUGUUUAGAGGAGGGACCACUGGUGCAGUUUAUUAUUCAAUAACACACUCCUUCAAUUCCCACAAUGGCUUUCUAUUAAGGCUAAUAUUUCCUUUUACAGCAAAGUGUAAAAGGAUCAUCACAUGUUAUACACCUACACAACACCUCUGUAGGACACUGCAUAUCACAGUCAGGACUCUUCAGGAUGGUCUGUGACUGCAGUUUGUAAGGAUGCAAACUCUGGAAACGUAUUAACAUGGCUGUUUUCCUUCCUUUCACCAAUUGCCAAGCUACAGACUCCAAUACUCUCCCCUGGACUCCAGAGACCUCAGUCAUCGAUUUACUAAUGAGGGACGUGGAGAGAGCAGGAGAUGCAGGACACUGAUUGGAGACGGUGGUUAUCAGGGUUGAUAGUCUUCCUGUGGUCUCCGAGGAGCACUAACCUUCAGAUUAACAGCUGAUCACGACAACACAUGUGAUAAAAAGUGAGUAAGAAUGACAAAAACAUGACUUUGGUUGUUUUUUUUUUAUAAAAUGAUAUGAGUAUUCUUAUAACACUUUUUGACAUCAACAUACCUCUUCAUUAAACACAAUAUUAGAAGCCAUAAAA